This is a long non-coding RNA of Lycium barbarum (goji berry), 1959 nucleotides long. RefSeq lists it as uncharacterized. The record is from RefSeq and is a predicted model, not a curated record. NCBI's taxonomy places the organism in Eukaryota, Viridiplantae, Streptophyta, Magnoliopsida, Solanales, Solanaceae. The transcript is spliced from 3 exons.
CUUCCCUCCUUUUCCCCUUUUUUGGUAGAACCUUCCCCCUCUUUUAUCCCAAAAACUACCCCAACUUCAGCAGUUCAGCCAAAGCUACCCGACCGAUCCUCAACCUCGUCUCAAUCCAAAACUAGGGCUUGAAAGAAACUUGGAAGCUCAAAGAUGUCCACACUAUAUACAUGGGACUCAAUAUAGUUUUUGCGUUCUCUUCCUAGCAGACAAUGUUUUGAGAAGUUCAUUUUUGGCGGCUAGUGUUGCAAAGUCUUCCCAAUGCAGGCCAAGCUUGUUCAAGCAUUCCGUGGAGACUUUGUUCUUUACGAAGGUAAUGUUCAUGUUACAUGUUUAUUCGCCUUGAUGUAAUCUUGUCUUAUAUGUUCCAGAUAUUCAAAGCCUCGUGUUUUAAGAAAUGGACUUUCAGAUUUUCAUCUCUUUUUCAUCUACCACACGACGUAAAUCAUCAAAAUGUCAAAUUAGUUUUGUUUAAAAAAAAAAAUAAUCUUGUCUUGUAUAUACAACAUGUUUAUUAGGACUUCAAAAGGUAUAACUCAAACUAAACCAGAACCUUGUUUACAUUAGGGCAUUCGUACCAGCUUAAAUAGGUAAUAUACCCUCCAUCCAACUGAAGAACUUGAGAAUCAAUGUGUGCCCAUUUAGAUUUAAAUUUAAGACUGUCUGAAAGAAAUAAAUGAGAUUAUAGCAGAUGAUUUAUGUUGGUGUUAAACAUGGAGAUGUAUGGGCUCCUUCAUUUCUACGAAGUAAGAUCAAGAUCAUUAGUAUAUUAUCCCAUGUCCAAUCCGUGUUUGUUAACACUAAUAGACUCAUAUGAAGUCAGAAAAUAGUGCAAAACUAGUUUAGCGCUUAAGAGAGUUGUUUCCGUCCCUUUAAAUGCAUUCUUGUUAUAUUAUGUUCUCCAUCUAUGUUUCCAAUUUUCUUAGUAAUUUUUUUAUGCUUUCAUCAUUUCUUUUUCUUAUUUUUAAUUUUCUUCCUUCAUCUAUAAUGGAUUUGAUUAGUUAAGAAAGAAAGUUCAAAUCAGUGCAGCAUAAAAGCUAAAAUUAACUUGAAGAUCAUCUAAUUUAGAUCUAAUAGGUAUUCAAUACUUUUUACCCCUCAUUCAUCAUUACGUUAGCAGUGUUAAAUUUCUUUUCUCUGUUGAUUAUUAGUACUAGUUUACAUUAUUGGCAGUCAUAAUGCAAAUUCAAAUGCUGCCGAUAAGUCAGACACUAACUUCAUAGCAAGUUCCCCUAGAGGUAAUUUUUUUGUUUCCCUUUUAUCAAUUUAGUAUCCGUCAUUUAUUUGAAUAGUAAUAAAUAACACAAAGAAGUGUUGGAAAUAUAAAUCAUCGUCAAAUUUAAAUUUGUAUAUGUGUUUCUAUGACAGGUAUUUAAAGGUCAAACUACCCCCUUGAACUUAAAGACUCCUGAGUUUAUAUUACUAUUACUUUCUGGUCUGUUAUGUCUUGUGGAAUGACUUAUAUUUCUUCCUUAUUUAUUUAGUUGCUCUCUUUUCCUUUUCUUUUUUCCACUUUAAUGGGGUUUGAUAUAUCUUUUUGGAUAAUCAGUAGGAACAUGUGAUAGUUCAUGUAUAUAGAUUCCUUAGAAACUAGUAAGCAUAAAGAUAUUUGAGCUCUGUAGAACUUUAUUUUUGAGAUUUGGUAGAUUUUGUUUUGAUAUAAUAACUAAUUACCUUAAUCUUGUCUGCAGGGUACAUUUACAAAUAAAAAAUAAAAAAUGAGGUGAAUGCGAUUUGUACGCCAAAGAAUGAAGUUGGAGUUGAAGUCGAGGAGGUAGAUGCGGAAUGCAAGUGACAAUAAAUGGAGAAAAUGGUUGUAGUUUUCCUUUGGACCAACCUUGAGAUAACGGUGUUUAAUCUUAUUGUCUUUUUGGUUGAAAGUAUAUUUUAUCUCAUUUGUAAACAUGUACUUCAUCCUUUUAACAUAUAUAACAAUUAUUAAUGAUUUGUUGGAUGUUG